Molecule: long non-coding RNA, 2474 nt
Organism: Oncorhynchus tshawytscha (Chinook salmon)
Lineage: Eukaryota; Metazoa; Chordata; Actinopteri; Salmoniformes; Salmonidae
Source: Ensembl
CUGCAAUAGUGGAGGCAGCUCCUGUUUUCUUUGUGACUUGUGGAAACUCUCCUUGGUUCUAAAUCCCUAAUUGUUUGGUAGUCGGAAACAUUACCUUGCUUGACCAUGCUGUAGGUCCUGUAACUGUUUGUUACAUGCAAUAUGCUUUAUAUGGACUUCACCGGACAGAGGUUGAUCUUUGGAUUUGUGAUGAAACAAAGGUGUUUCAUUUAUUCUGCCACUGUGUCUUCUUAUGGUCUCGGCCUUUAGGCUUAUUUAUCACGGUUGCAAGGCAUAUGACCCUGGGACUAAAUACCUCCGUCUGCAACUGGAUCCUAAGACUUCCUGGCGGGCCGCUCCCAGGUGGUAAGCGUAGGUAACAACACAUCCGCCACGCCGAUCCUCAACACAGGGACCCCUCAGGGAUGCAUGCUCAGUCCCCUCCCUGUUCACUCAUGACUGCGUGGCCAGGCAUGACUCCAACACCAUCAUCAAGUUUGCAGAUGACACAACAGUGGUAGACCUGAUCACCAACAACGAUGAGACAGCCUAUAGGGAGUAGGUCAGACCUGUCCGUGUGAUGACAGGACAACAACCUCUCCUUCAAUGUGAUUAAGACAAAGGAGAUGUUUGUGGACUACAGGAAAAAGAGGACCGAGCACUCCCCCAUUCUCAUUGACUUGGCUGCAGUGAAGCAGGUUGAGAACUUCAAGUUCCUUGGUGUCCACAUAACCAACAAAGUAUCAUGGUCCAAACACACUAAGACCGUCGUGAAGAGGGCAUGACAAAGCCUAUUACCCCUCAGGAUACUGAAAAUAUUUGGCAUGGGUUCUCAGAUCCUCAAAAGGUUCUACAGCUUCACCAUCGAGAGCAUCCUGACUGGUUGCAUUACUGCCUGGUAUGGCAACUGCUCGGCUUCCAACCACAAGGCAUGACAGAGGGUAGUGCGUAUGGCCCAGUAGAUUACUGGGGCCAAGCUUCCCGCCAUUCAGGAACUCUAUACCAGGCAGUGUCAGAGGAAGGCCCUAACAAUUGUCAAAGACUCCAGCCACCCUAGUUAUAGACUGCUCUCUGCUACCACACAGCAAGCGGUACCAGAGCGCCAAGUCGAGGUCCAAAAGGCUUCUUAACAGCUUCUACCCCCAAGCCAUAAGACUCCAGAACAGCUAAUCAAAGGGCCACCCAGACCCCUCUUUUACGCUGCUGCUACUCUCUGUUUAUAAUCUAUGCAUAGUAACUUUAACUCUACCUACAUGUACAUAUUACCUCAAUUACCUUGUCUAACCGGUGCACCCACACAUUGACUCUGCACUGGUACCCCCUGUAUAUAGCCUCGCUAUUGCUAUUGUUAUUGUUUAAUUAUUUGUAACUUUUAUUUUCUAUAUAUUUAUUUUUUAUUUUUUUAUUAUUAUUUUUUUUUUUAAAUUUUACUUACACCUGUUGCAUUCGGCGCAUGUGACAAAUACAAUUUGAUUUGAUAUGAACUAACAGGUUAUAGAGCAAACUAAGCAAUUAUUACAACACAUAGGUUGUAAUAUCCCUUUUUUUCCUGGCUUCCCCCGGGAUCUUACCCACGCACCACUACUGGUGACGGAGAUCAUAGAGUGUUAUUUCCAACAUAGUGAUUGGGCUGUCUCUUCUCUGGGUGGCGCGGGAAGGAAAAGGAAAUAGGUAAACAAUGUCAUUAUUUGUGGCAUGUUGGGGAACCAUCUGGGGACCCCUUCAACAGCACAGGCUAAUUUACGGCUACUCUGAGCUUUCCGGGACUGAGUCCAACCCCCAUUCACCCCUCCAGAGCCCUUUCUCUGUUACCACAGAGUUCUGCAGAAUUCUCAUCUACCAUAGAUUGCUACUCUCUCAAUUCUCUCUCUAUUCUCUCUACCCCUAUUACUGCUGAGACCCGUCUCAUUCCACAGAUAUUCUGUUCACUCUCUAGUCUUCUCUUCUCUUCGCAUACAGUCACAACAGACAGUCCACCUGAUUAGCUCUAAUGAUUUGCGUCCAGUGUUUAUAAGCUCUAAACGCUAUCUAUGACCUAUUGAUUCACCAGUGACUAGCGCAGGGUCUGUUUAAGUUAUUGGUUUGUUCUCUAUAUAGUCCCUAUUGAUUGUCUAUUACAGUACUGCUGAGGCCAUUAUCUAGUUUACUGUUCCACAUGGUUCUCUCCCGUUUUUUCUGUGCAGAAGCUGCUGCCUCGCGUCAGCAUCCUAUAUAUCAGGCUGACUUGAGAGAUAGGAGUGGAACUCACAGUUGUGCUAUUCAUUUCUUCAAGAUACUAAUGCCAUCACAGUGCAGCACAUACAUAUCUACAGAUAAUUUCUUUUAUUUCACACACGCACACGCUGUCUUACUUGAAUGAAAACCGUCACUUUUACUACUACUACUAUGCCAUAUAUGUUGCAUUCUAUAAAAACUUCAAAUGCAUAGUUGUUUUUAUCCUAUCAUCCUCCUCCUCUAUCCCUUACUCUCUCUGUUUCAUCUGUGUUGCUGCCUGC